RNAcentral lists this ribosomal RNA (681 nucleotides) under uncultured bacterium. Its description in RNAcentral is "bacterial SSU rRNA". It matches the Rfam family "Bacterial small subunit ribosomal RNA", at positions 8 to 679 of the family's 1533-position model. The record is from RNAcentral.
AGAGUUUGAUUAGGGCUCAGAUUGAACGCUGGCGGCAGGCCUAACACAUGCAAGUCGAACGGUAGCACAGAGAGCUUGCUCUCGGGUGACGAGUGGCGGACGGGUGAGUAAUGUCUGGGAAACUGCCCGAUGGAGGGGGAUAACUACUGGAAACGGUAGCUAAUACCGCAUAACGUCGCAAGACCAAAGAGGGGGACCUUAGGGCCUCUUGCCAUCGGAUGUGCCCAGAUGGGAUUAGCUUGUAGGUGAGGUAACGGCUCACCUAGGCGACGAUCCCUAGCUGGUCUGAGAGGAUGACCAGCCACACUGGAACUGAGACACGGUCCAGACUCCUACGGGAGGCAGCAGUGGGGAAUAUUGCACAAUGGGCGCAAGCCUGAUGCAGCCAUGCCGCGUGUAUGAAGAAGGCCUUCGGGUUGUAAAGUACUUUCAGCGGGGAGGAAGGGAGUGAGGUUAAUAACCUCAUUCAUUGACGUUACCCGCAGAAGAAGCACCGGCUAACUCCGUGCCAGCAGCCGCGGUAAUACGGAGGGUGCAAGCGUUAAUCGGAAUUACUGGGCGUAAAGCGCACGCAGGCGGUCUGUCAAGUCGGAUGUGAAAUCCCCGGGCUCAACCUGGGAACUGCAUUCGAAACUGGCAGGCUGGAGUCUUGUAGAGGGGGGUAGAAUUCCAGGGUGUAGC